RNAcentral lists this ribosomal RNA (253 nucleotides) under uncultured bacterium. Its description in RNAcentral is "partial 16S ribosomal RNA". It matches the Rfam family "Bacterial small subunit ribosomal RNA", at positions 524 to 776 of the family's 1533-position model. The record is from RNAcentral.
UACGAAGGGGGCUAGCGUGGUUCGGAAUCACUGGGCGUAAAGCGCACGUAGGCGGAUAGUUAAGUCAGGGGUGAAAUCCCGAGGCUCAACCUCGGAACUGCCUUUGAUAAUGGCGAUCUAGAGUCCGGGAGAGGUGAGUGGAACUGCGAGUGUAGAGGUGAAAUUCGUAGAUAUUCGCAAGAACACCAGUGGCGAAGGCGGCUCACAGGCCCGGAACUGACGCUGAGGUGCGAAAGCGUGGGGAGCAAACAGG